CAGCGACUUAUAUUCUGUAGCAAGGUUAACCGAAUAGGGGAGCCGGAGGGAAACCGAGUCUUAAUUGGGCGUUAAGUUGCAGGGUAUAGACCCGAAACCCGGUGAUCUAGCCAUGGGCAGGUUGAAGGUUGGGUAACACUAACUGGAGGACCGAACCGACUAAUGUUGAAAAAUUAGCGGAUGACCUGUGGCUGGGGGUGAAAGGCCAAUCAAACCGGGAGAUAGCUGGUUCUCCCCGAAAGCUAUUUAGGUAGCGCCUCGUGAAUUCAUCUCCGGGGGUAGAGCACUGUUUCGGCUAGGGGGCCAUCCCGGCUUACCAACCCGAUGCAAACUGCGAAUACCGGAGAAUGUUAUCACGGGAGACACACGGCGGGUGCUAACGUCCGUCGUGAAGAGGGAAACAACCCAGACCGCCAGCUAAGGUCCCAAAGUCAUGGUUAAGUGGGAAACGAUGUGGGAAGGCCCAGACAGCCAGGAUGUUGGCUUAGAAGCAGCCAUCAUUUAAAGAAAGCGUAAUAGCUCACUGGUCGAGUCGGCCUGCGCGGAAGAUGUAACGGGGCUAAACCAUG
Molecule: ribosomal RNA, 569 nt
Filed under: Salmonella enterica subsp. enterica serovar Paratyphi B var. L(+) tartrate +
Lineage: Bacteria; Pseudomonadati; Pseudomonadota; Gammaproteobacteria; Enterobacterales; Enterobacteriaceae
Description: partial 23S ribosomal RNA
Rfam family: Bacterial large subunit ribosomal RNA
Source: RNAcentral